AUGGGCAACCUUUCCAUGCAGAGCAUAUUUGACUAUAGCAGAGGAGGAUGGAUCCAGGACCGACCGUUGUGGAUUCGCCGCCUCACUAAUGUCGGUCUUGUGCUUGCGUGGGGUUCUUCUUCACCCAGUACCAACACCGUUGAUGGCAGUGAAAACCAGCUGCUACAUAUGCUGAUCAUUGGCCGGCUUUUUGGUUCCCAUGCCUGUGCGAUGCCGACGCCAGUGGUGCUGUACGGCCUCGGCUACAGCCAUUCUGGAACUAGCUAUGGCGGUGGCUGCGGAUUUGCCACUUCAACAAGGUUUCGUCCCUCCCUGGUUUGCACAAGCUCCGCCAGGCAGCUGCAGAUCCCGUACGACCACGGCCCGCACCCCGGAAGCUUCACCCGUCUGCAACAAUUUCUGGAUCAAAGUAAUGUCGAGUUGAGCACUGAGCACUUUGCUCUUGUUAUCUCAGGAUUGUUGCUUAAUCCCGGGCUGCUCUACCUUGAAGGAAAAGGGCUGCUGAUCGGGAACCAGCCAUUGGUGUACCUCAAUAAGGUCACAGGAGUCGCCGCCAAGCCUGAGUCCAUGGAGCCCUGCUCCGGCUUCAAGGAGAGAUUUGUUAUGUGUGUUGUCCUUGUGCAGGAGAAGGGGUUCAUCGAGCCAGACAAGGUGCGCGGUGGUAGGCUCGGUCUCCAGCCUCAGCGUCUUCUGUUGGCCCCUUUGCCAUGUGGCACCAACGGUGCUGUUCAGAGUCGGCUACAAAACUGGCAUGGUGAGCUCCUCUCUUUCCUCUGCUCCUCGCCUCUUGUUGCUCUGAGCUUGUGCCCAUCGAGCCAUAGCUACGCCAUGCUAGGAUUUGGCCUCUAA
RNAcentral lists this ribosomal RNA (849 nucleotides) under Triticum aestivum (bread wheat). Its description in RNAcentral is "partial small subunit ribosomal RNA". Lineage: Eukaryota; Viridiplantae; Streptophyta; Magnoliopsida; Poales; Poaceae. The record is from RNAcentral.